ACCCGAGGAGCAAGUCGAAGGGAAAGAAGAAGAGGAAGGAGGGAGGAUUUUCCACAUGCAAUCUGAUCUUUGAACCAAGGUUUUAAUUUGUGGCUCGGUUUACUAAGAAGAAACUCAAACCAAGGGCCCAAUUCAUCCAAGAGGAAAGAGGAGUUGGUGGAAGCAUAGCUAAGGUUGAAGGAGAGAAGAACUUAGUGCCUAGUUAAUUGAUUAAUCUUGAAUACAUUCUGUUAUGUUUCCUCUUUUCUUUUGUGAUAUGUGAUGUUUAUACUUUCCUUUUGAGAAGUUACCUAAAUUUCACUUAUAGGGCUACCUUCAUAAAGAGGAGUGAAUAGGGGUAGUUUAGCAUA
This is a long non-coding RNA of Neltuma alba, 350 nucleotides long. RefSeq lists it as uncharacterized. NCBI's taxonomy places the organism in Eukaryota, Viridiplantae, Streptophyta, Magnoliopsida, Fabales, Fabaceae. The transcript has 3 exons. The record is from RefSeq and is a predicted model, not a curated record.